CAAUAGGGAAUGGUCACAGUUUUUACCGCUCCUACUCGAGCUUUGUAAAUGUGAACGAACAUGUUUCACAGCUGUAAGAUUACUCUUCAUGUUAUAAGUAUGGCGAACUGUAAGCAAGUUGCGUUGAAUUCACAGUGUUGCCAGAGCCGUUUUACAAUGUUCCGCCAGAUGGACUCUGAAAAUCCGCUAAAAUCCGCUAAAUUUUCGAUGUAAUCAGAAUUCGCUAGAUUUUCCGCCAAAAUUUUGAGAAAUUCGAAGAUGGAAUCAAUAAAAUCCUUGAAAUUUUUCAAAAUUUAUGUAUAAAAGAGCGAAAAAAACGGAUGAAAGAAGAAUAAAAGCAAUCCGCCAGGAUAUCCGCUAGCCGCUAAAACUGAAAAUGUCAGCGGAUUCCUCUCAUUAAAAACGCUAGGAACGGCGGAAAAUUUGCUGAAAUGGCAACCCUGCAAUGAAUUGUGAUGGCUUUAUUUUUUGCGAUUUUUCAAAGCAGCAAGAACAUUCUUAUUACUUCGUUCAUUUACCUACCUAUAGACCUACUUAGGUAUGUAGUAUUUGUUUAGAAAUACAUCAAACUUGAAUAAAUAAUAUUUACAUGCAA
Planococcus citri (citrus mealybug) is the source of this 595-nucleotide long non-coding RNA. RefSeq lists it as uncharacterized. The transcript has 2 exons. NCBI's taxonomy places the organism in Eukaryota, Metazoa, Arthropoda, Insecta, Hemiptera, Pseudococcidae. The record is from RefSeq and is a predicted model, not a curated record.